Molecule: ribosomal RNA, 253 nt
Filed under: uncultured bacterium
Lineage: Bacteria
Description: partial 16S ribosomal RNA
Rfam family: Bacterial small subunit ribosomal RNA
Source: RNAcentral
UACGUAGGUGGCAAGCGUUGUCCGGAUUUACUGGGUGUAAAGGGCGUGUAGCCGGGCUUACAAGUCAGAUGUGAAAUCCGGGGGCUCAACCCCCGAACUGCAUUUGAAACUGUAGGUCUUGAGUAUUGGAGAGGCAGGCGGAAUUCCUAGUGUAGCGGUGAAAUGCGUAGAUAGUAGGAGGAACACCAGUGGCGAAGGCGGCCUGCUGGACGACAACUGACGGUGAGGCGCGAAAGCGUGGGGAGCAAACAGG